Molecule: ribosomal RNA, 460 nt
Filed under: uncultured bacterium
Lineage: Bacteria
Description: partial 16S ribosomal RNA
Rfam family: Bacterial small subunit ribosomal RNA
Source: RNAcentral
CCUACGGGGGGCUGCAGUGAGGAAUAUUGGUCAAUGGGCGCGAGCCUGAACCAGCCAAGUCGCGUGAGGGAAGACGGCCCUACGGGUUGUAAACCUCUUUUGCCGGGGAGCAACGGGCGCCACGUGUGGCGCCACUGAGAGUACCCGGAGAAAAAGCAUCGGCUAACUCCGUGCCAGCAGCCGCGGUAAUACGGAGGAUGCGAGCGUUAUCCGGAUUUAUUGGGUUUAAAGGGUGCGUAGGCGGAGCGUUAAGUCAGUGGUCAAAUUGAGGGGCUCAACCCCUUCCCGCCAUUGAAACUGGCGCUCUUGAGUGGAAGAGAAGUAUGCGGAAUGCGUGGUGUAGCGGUGAAAUGCAUAGAUAUCGCGCAGAACCCCGAUUGCGAAGGCAGCGUGCCGUGCCGCCACUGACGCUGAGGCACGAAAGCGCGGGGAUCGAACAGGAUUAGAUACCCGAGUAGUC